Molecule: signal recognition particle RNA, 294 nt
Filed under: Suricata suricatta (meerkat)
Lineage: Eukaryota; Metazoa; Chordata; Mammalia; Carnivora; Herpestidae
Description: Metazoan signal recognition particle RNA (ENSSSUG00005001662.1)
Rfam family: Metazoan signal recognition particle RNA
About the family: The signal recognition particle (SRP) is a universally conserved ribonucleoprotein. It is involved in the co-translational targeting of proteins to membranes.
Source: Rfam by way of RNAcentral
GCUAGACCUAUGUAGUCCCAGCUACUCGGGAGGCUGAGGCAGGAGGAUCGCUUGAGCCCAGGAGUUCUGGGCUGUAGUGCGCUAUGCCCAUCGGGUGUCCGCACUAAGUGCGGCACCAAUAUGGUGACCUCCCAGGAGGGGGGGACCACCAGGUUGCCUAAGGAGGGGUGAACCGGCCCAGGUCGGAAACGGAGCAGGUCAAAACUCCCGUGCUGAUCAGUAGAGUGCUUUUUUUAAUGUUUAUUUUUGAGGCGGUGGGGGGGAGGGCAGAAAAAGAGAGAGACACAGAAUCCA